GCCUGGGUGGCUCAGUCGGUUGAGCAUCCGACUUCGACUCAGGUCAUGAUCUCAUGGUCUGUGAGUUCGAGCCCCACGUCGGGCU
Molecule: transfer RNA, 85 nt
Filed under: Felis catus (domestic cat)
Lineage: Eukaryota; Metazoa; Chordata; Mammalia; Carnivora; Felidae
Rfam family: tRNA
About the family: Transfer RNA (tRNA) molecules are approximately 80 nucleotides in length.
Source: Rfam by way of RNAcentral